GAUGAACGCUGGCGAUAGGCUUAACACAUGCAAGUCGAGCGGCAGCAUGGUCUUAGCUUGCUCAGACUGAUGGCGACCGGCGCACGGGUGCGUAACGCGUAUGCAACUUGCCUCACAGAGGGGGAUAACCCGUCGAAAGACGGACUAAUACCGCGUACACUUGGGAUAGGGCAUCCUGACCCAAGGAAAUUAAAUUCGCUGUGUGAUAGGCAUGCGUCACAUUAGCUAGUUGGUGAGGGAACGGCUCACCAAGGCGACGAUGGGUAGGGGAACGGAGAGGUUGAAACACUGGAACGGUACUGAGGCACGGACGACAAUGGUAGGGAAGGCAGCAGAAAGGAAGACUGGUGGCUGAACGAGGGCCCGACCAAGCCAAGUCGCGUGAAGGAUGACUGGGUUAGGGAUUGCAAACUUCUGUGAAACAAGAACAGCAAGAGUAACGCGUGCUUCUCUGAAUGUACCGAAUGAAUAAGCAUCGGCUAACUUCGUG
Molecule: ribosomal RNA, 490 nt
Filed under: uncultured bacterium
Lineage: Bacteria
Description: partial 16S ribosomal RNA
Rfam family: Bacterial small subunit ribosomal RNA
Source: RNAcentral